This 254-nucleotide ribosomal RNA is filed under the name uncultured bacterium. RNAcentral's name for it is "partial 16S ribosomal RNA". It matches the Rfam family "Bacterial small subunit ribosomal RNA", at positions 524 to 776 of the family's 1533-position model. The record is from RNAcentral.
UACGUAGGGGGCAAGCGUUGUCCGGAUUUAUUGGGCGUAAAGAGCUCGUAGGUGGUUCGGUAAGUCGGAUGUGAAAUCUCCAGGCUCAACCUGGAGGGGUCAUUCGAUACUGCCGUGACUAGAGUUCGGUAGGGGAGUGUGGAAUUCCUGGUGGAGCGGUGAAAUGCGCAGAUAUCAGGAGGAACACCCGUAGCGAAGGCGGCACUCUGGGCCGAUACUGACACUGAGAAGCGAAAGCGUGGGGAGCGAACAGG